Molecule: ribosomal RNA, 547 nt
Filed under: uncultured bacterium
Lineage: Bacteria
Description: bacterial SSU rRNA
Rfam family: Bacterial small subunit ribosomal RNA
Source: RNAcentral
GGAAUAUUGGGCAAUGGACGAAAGUCUGACCCAGCGACGCCGCGUGCGGGAUGAAGGCCUUCGGGUUGUAAACCGCUUUCAGCAGGGAAUAAGCGCAAGUGAAGGUACCUGCAGAAGAAGCACCGGCUAACUAUGUGCCAGCAGCCGCGGUAAUACAUAGGGUGCAAGCGUUGUCCGGAAUUAUUGGGCGUAAAGAGCUCGUAGGUGGUUUGUUACGUCGGUUGUGAAAUUCAGGGGCUCAACCCCUGACUUGCAGCCGAUACGGGCAAGCUAGAGUUUGGUAGGGGAGACUGGAAUUCCUGGUGUAGCGGUGGAAUGCGCAGAUAUCAGGAGGAACACCGAUGGCGAAGGCAGGUCUCUGGGCCAAUACUGACACUGAGGAGCGAAAGCGUGGGGAGCGAACAGGAUUAGAUACCCUGGUAGUCCACGCCGUAAACGGUGGGCGCUAGUUGUGCGAACCUUCCACGGUUUGUGCGACGCAGCUAACGCAUUAAGCGCCCCGCCUGGGGAGUACGAUCGCAAGAUUAAAACUCAAAGGAAUUGACGG